RNAcentral lists this ribosomal RNA (1352 nucleotides) under metagenome. RNAcentral's name for it is "bacterial LSU rRNA". It matches the Rfam family "Bacterial large subunit ribosomal RNA", at positions 1564 to 2925 of the family's 2925-position model. The record is from RNAcentral.
CGAGUCCGAGUCUCCACGGAGACGAAGUGGCGGUCAUCCAGCUUCCUAGAAAAGCUCUAACCACGUUAAUCUUUAGUUGCCUGUACCCGAAACCGACACAGGUAGGGGGGUAGAGAAUACCAAGGGGCGCGAGAUAACUCUCUCUAAGGAACUCGGCAAAAUGACCCCGUAACUUCGGGAGAAGGGGUACCACUGAGAAGUGGUCGCAGUGAAGAGGCCCAGGCGACUGUUUACCAAAAACACAGGUCUCCGCCAAGUCGCAAGACGAAGUAUGGGGGCUGACGCCUGCCCAGUGCCGGAAGGUUAAGGAAGUGGGUUAGGGAUUCGUCCCGAAGCUGACGACUGAAGCCCCGGUGAACGGCGGCCGUAACUAUAACGGUCCUAAGGUAGCGAAAUUCCUUGUCGGGUAAGUUCCGACCCGCACGAAAGGCGUAACGAUCUGGGCGCUGUCUCGGAGAGAGGCUCGGCGAAAUAGGAUUGUCUGUGAAGAUACGGACUACCUGCACCUGGACAGAAAGACCCUAUGAAGCUUUACUGUAGCUUGGAAUUGGGUUCGGGCUUGGUUUGCGCAGGAUAGGUGGGAGGCGAAGAAGAUUUGCUUGUGGGUGAAUCUGAGCCAACGGUGAGAUACCACUCUAACCAGGCUAGAAUUCUAACUUCAACCCGUCAACCGGGGGAAGGACAGUUUCAGGUGGGCAGUUUGACUGGGGCGGUCGCCUCCUAAAAGAUAACGGAGGCGCACAAAGGUUCCCUCAGGCUGGUUGGAAAUCAGCCAACGAGUGCAAAGGCAGAAGGGAGCUUGACUGCGAGACCUACAAGUCAAGCAGGGUGGAAACACGGUCUUAGUGAUCCGACGGCACCGAGUGGAAGGGCCGUCGCUCAACGGAUAAAAGUUACUCUAGGAUAACAGGCUGAUCUCCCCCAAGAGUUCACAUCGACGGGGAGGUUUGGCACCUCGAUGUCGGCUCAUCGCAACCUGGGGCGGAAGUACGUCCCAAGGGUUGGGCUGUUCGCCCAUUAAAGCGGUACGUGAGCUGGGUUCAGAACGUCGUGAGACAGUUCGGUCCAUAUCCGGUGUAGGCGCAAGAACAUUGAGAGGAGUCUUCCUUAGUACGAGAGGACCGGGAAGAACGCACCGCUGGUGUACCUGUUAUCGUGCCAACGGUAAACGCAGGGUAGCCAAGUGCGGAGUGGAUAACCGCUGAUAGCAUCUAAGUGGUAAGCCCACCUCAAGAUGAGUGUUCUCAUGGAGUAAUCCAGUAAGGUCACGGGAAGACGACCCGUUGAUAGGCGGUAGGUGGAAGUUCAGCAAUGGAUGAAGCCGAGCCGUACUAACAGACCGAGGGCUUGAC